AGUGUUCGAGCUCGAGUAUCUGCGUGCACAGAGAGAGAGACGAUGGCGGAGAAAACAUUGUGCGUUACCGGAGCUGGAGGCUUUCUUGCUUCGUGGGUCGUCAAGAUUCUUCUCUCCAAGGGCUACACCGUCCAUGGCACGGUCAGAGAUCCCAGUGAUGCAAAGAAUGCUCACUUGAAGGAACUAGAUAAAGCAUCUGAGAAAUUGAGACUCUUCAAGGCGGAUUUACUUGAUUACGAUUCGCUCCGCUCGGCAAUUGAAGGAUGCUGUGGGGUUCUCCAUGUUGCUUCUCCAGUCCCUCCCUCCUCUGUGUCAAACCCUGAGGUACAACUGCUUGCACCUGCAGUUAAGGGAACACUUAAUGUACUGAAGGCAUGUUCUGAAGCGAAAGUUAAGCGAGUUGUAUAUGUGUCCUCGGUUGCUGCAUUGAUGAUGAUCCCAAGCUGGCCAAAUGGUCAAGCGAUGGACGAGUCGUCUUGGUCCGACAAGGAGUACUGUCGCAGGACUGAGAACUGGUAUUGCCUUUCAAAAACUGAAGCAGAAAGUGAAGCUUUAGAAUAUGCAAAUAGAAAUGGGCUCGACGUCGUAUCAGUGUGUCCCAGUUACAUAUUUGGCCCAAUUCUGCAGCCAACACUCAAUGCAAGCACAAUGGUCCUCUUAAAUGUUAUGAAAGGAGGGCAGGAGUCAGUGCCAAACAGGUUUAGGAAUAUAGUGGACGUACGUGAUGUCGCUGCAGCUGUAAUUUUGGCAUAUGAGAAACCUGAGGCCGAAGGACGAUAUAUAUGCACAUCUUACUGCAUUAAGACACAGGACUUGGUGGAAAAGGUGAAGACUCUGUAUCCUAACUACAAUUAUCCCAAAAGCUUCACUGAGACUGAAGAAUGGGUGAAUAUUAGCUCAGAGAAGUUACGAGGGCUUGGUUGGACUUACAGGGCAUUGGAGGAAACUCUAGUUGAUUCAGUUGAAAGCUACGGCGCGUCUGGCCUACUGGAAACGAAGUAGUUGCGUGGUCGGGUUAGUUUCUGCCCCGGGAUUGAUCACCGCCUGGGUUAGUUUCUUCCCUGGGAUUGAUCACCGCCUGAUUGUUGUCCAAUGGGUUAGUUUCUGCCCCGGGAUUGAUCACCGCCUGAUUGUUGUCCGAUAAGAACACUGUAUUCCGGCAAUAACACAGACAUUGUUUUGUUGUAGCAUAGAGGUUACCGCUGUGGUUCAGGCUUGUUAUAAGUUGGAGCUAAAAUAAAGACGGGAUGAUCUGGAUGGUUGCGA
RNA transcript from Rhodamnia argentea, 1266 nucleotides. It is a transcript of the gene named cinnamoyl-CoA reductase 1-like, with no coding region annotated. The transcript is spliced from 8 exons. The record is from RefSeq and is a predicted model, not a curated record. Lineage: Eukaryota; Viridiplantae; Streptophyta; Magnoliopsida; Myrtales; Myrtaceae.